RNAcentral lists this ribosomal RNA (447 nucleotides) under uncultured bacterium. RNAcentral's name for it is "SSU rRNA". It matches the Rfam family "Bacterial small subunit ribosomal RNA", at positions 26 to 518 of the family's 1533-position model. The record is from RNAcentral.
AGAGCGAACGCUGGCGGCAGGCCUAAUACAUGCAAGUCGAACGGAUCCUUCGGGAUUAGUGGCGGACGGGUGAGUAACACGUGGGAACGUACCCUUUGGUUCGGAACAACUCAGGGAAACUUGAGCUAAUACCGAAUGUGCCCUUCGGGGAAAAGAUUUAUCGCCAUUGGAGCGGCCCGCGUCUGAUUAGCUAGUUGGUAGGGUAAAGGCCUACCAAGGCUACGAUCAGUAGCUGGUCUGAGAGGAUGAUCAGCCACACUGGGACUGAGACACGGCCCAGACUCCUACGGGAGGCAGCAGUAGGGAAUCUUGCGCAAUGGGCGAAAGCCUGACGCAGCCAUGCCGCGUGAAUGAUGAAGGUCUUAGGAUUGUAAAAUUCUUUACAGUGGGGACGAUAAUGACGGUACCCGCAGAAGAAGCCCCGGCUAACUUCGCGCCAGCAGCCGC